Pelobates cultripes (western spadefoot toad) is the source of this 217-nucleotide non-coding RNA. Lineage: Eukaryota; Metazoa; Chordata; Amphibia; Anura; Pelobatidae. The record is from the annotation of a GenBank genome assembly.
AGAAGGCGGAAGGUAGAUAGCGGCUGAAGGGGACACAAGCAGAAUCAGACUGCGGACACGAAGCAACAAAGCUAAGUCGGAGCAACAGACAGCAUUACGGGAUUGUAGGUGGAGGCGGAGACAGAUUCCAGUCUUGGGUCAGGAAGACUUGAAGAUAAGUAACCUACACAGUAUUGCAAGUAUCCUCAAUAUUUUUAGUUUCUCUUGUUUCUUUUUU